AGCAGUCGCCGCGGGAAUUCGAAGGGUGCAAGCGUUACUCGGAAUUACUGGGCGUAAAGCGUGCGUAGGUGGUGGUUUAAGUCCGUUGUGAAAGCCCUGGGCUCAACCUGGGAAUUGCAGUGGAUACUGGGUCACUAGAGUGUGGUAGAGGAUAGUGGAAUUCCCGGUGUAGCAGUGAAAUGCGUAGAGAUCGGAAGGAACAUCUGUGGCGAAGGCGACUAUCUGGGCCAACACUGACACUGAGGCACGAAAGCGUGGGGAGCAAACAGGAUUAGAUACCCCUGUAGUCCCUGUCUCUUAUAC
Molecule: ribosomal RNA, 303 nt
Filed under: uncultured bacterium
Lineage: Bacteria
Description: partial 16S ribosomal RNA
Rfam family: Bacterial small subunit ribosomal RNA
Source: RNAcentral